This 86-nucleotide transfer RNA is filed under the name Acidobacteriota bacterium. Its description in RNAcentral is "Acidobacteria bacterium (rhizosphere metagenome) tRNA-Ser". It matches the Rfam family "tRNA". From Rfam's summary of the family: Transfer RNA (tRNA) molecules are approximately 80 nucleotides in length. Their secondary structure includes four short double-helical elements and three loops (D, anti-codon, and T loops). Further hydrogen bonds mediate the characteristic L-shaped molecular structure. tRNAs have two regions of fundamental functional importance: the anti-codon, which is responsible for specific mRNA codon recognition, and the 3' end, to which the tRNAs corresponding amino acid is attached (by aminoacyl-tRNA synthetases). tRNAs cope with the degeneracy of the genetic code in two manners: having more than one tRNA (with a specific anti-codon) for a particular amino acid; and 'wobble' base-pairing, i.e. permitting non-standard base-pairing at the 3rd anti-codon position. The record is from RNAcentral. Lineage: Bacteria; Pseudomonadati; Acidobacteriota.
GGAGGGUUGGCAGAAUGGCUAUUGCACUGGUCUUGAAAACCAGCGCCCGAAAGGGCUUGGGGGUUCGAGUCCCUCACCCUCCGCCA